UUGCCUCAGUAGCUCAGUGGAUAGAGCACCCGCCUUCUAAGCGGUCGGUCGUUGGUUCGAUCCCAACCUGAGGCGUCA
This 78-nucleotide transfer RNA is filed under the name Synechococcus sp. RNAcentral describes it as "Asn-tRNA". It matches the Rfam family "tRNA". From Rfam's summary of the family: Transfer RNA (tRNA) molecules are approximately 80 nucleotides in length. Their secondary structure includes four short double-helical elements and three loops (D, anti-codon, and T loops). Lineage: Bacteria; Bacillati; Cyanobacteriota; Cyanophyceae; Synechococcales; Synechococcaceae. The record is from RNAcentral.